GGAGCUUUGGGCAGGUUAGGUUCCCUUUGAGGAUGCGGGGCCAGGGAAUUUAAUCUUGUCGGGGGCUCAAAAAGCUGCCUAGAGCCCUGCCAGGGAAGAAGGGAGGAGGUACUAUUCUAAGGAUCUCAAAGUAUACAGUUUCUAAUGACCCUGCAGGCAGGCUCCUUGCAAGUACAGGGGCGGGGGAGAAGAAUGCAAAGUAAGCAUGCAGUGCCAAGCAAAACUGGAACUGAGGAGAGAUGGAGCACAAGCCCAGGGGGAGGUCCACGAUGGGGAAGUUUCGCCCGCAAAAUUAGGCUCCUUUUCUGGAAGUGUGCCAUGAUACCACCAAUGGGUUUGCCCUGCUGUUCUGGAAAAUGCUGUGGUAGGUAUAAGAUUCCAACUGUUUUGAGCACGAAAGAAGAGAAGAGGAAUCAGAAUUGGAAAAGAAGUCUCUUCCC
RNAcentral lists this long non-coding RNA (440 nucleotides) under Mustela putorius furo (domestic ferret). RNAcentral describes it as "lncRNA (ENSMPUG00000029390.1)". Lineage: Eukaryota; Metazoa; Chordata; Mammalia; Carnivora; Mustelidae. The record is from RNAcentral.